UGGGGAAUAUUGCACAAUGGGCGGAAGCCUGAUGCAGCGACGCCGCGUGGGGGAUGAAGGCCUUCGGGUUGUAAACUCCUUUCGACAGGGACGAAGCUUUUGUGACGGUACCUGUAUAAGAAGCACCGGCUAACUACGUGCCAGCAGCCGCGGUAAUACGUAGGGUGCGAGCGUUGUCCGGAAUUACUGGGCGUAAAGAGCUCGUAGGUGGUUUGUCGCGUCGUCUGUGAAAUUCCGGGGCUUAACUCCGGGCGUGCAGGCGAUACGGGCUGACUUGAGUGCUGUAGGGGAGCCUGGAAUUCCUGGUGUAGCGGUGAAAUGCGCAGAUAUCAGGAGGAAAACCGAUGGCGAAGGCAGGUCUCUGGGCAGUAACUGACGCUGAGGAGCGAAAGCAUGGGUAGCGAACAGG
This 409-nucleotide ribosomal RNA is filed under the name Actinomycetes bacterium. Its description in RNAcentral is "Actinobacteria bacterium partial 16S ribosomal RNA". It matches the Rfam family "Bacterial small subunit ribosomal RNA", at positions 355 to 776 of the family's 1533-position model. Lineage: Bacteria; Bacillati; Actinomycetota; Actinomycetes. The record is from RNAcentral.